This 394-nucleotide unclassified non-coding RNA is filed under the name rhizosphere metagenome. Its description in RNAcentral is "partial ribosomal RNA internal transcribed spacer region". The record is from RNAcentral.
UUCCCCCCUACUGAAGCCUUCCGCGGCGACUUGAUAAAUAACUGCGUAGCCUGCUCUGCAGACCACACCACGAAAAUGCUAGGACUUGAUUAACUUCGAGUACCAGCAGCCUGGAGUUCCAGGUCCACAGAUCAUGUAGUGGUGGUCAUUUAUGAUUGAGAUAUGACCGGUCUUAACUAGAAUUAGUUGGGAAUCAAUGUUCCGUAGGUGAACCUGCGGAAGGAUCAUUAUUGAAAGGGAGCCCUUCGGGGUUCAACCUUAAACCCUUUGUCUUAAUUACCUGUUUCUUUGGCGGGCUCGCCCGUCAGAAGUUUUCACAAACCCAUGAUAAACGUGUCAUCUGAAUAACAAAGUAAAUAAAUUAAAACUUUCAACAACGGAUCUCUUGGUUCUG